This 628-nucleotide ribosomal RNA is filed under the name uncultured Alternaria. RNAcentral describes it as "eukaryotic LSU rRNA". The stretch from base 249 to 402 matches the Rfam family "5.8S ribosomal RNA". The record is from RNAcentral. Lineage: Eukaryota; Fungi; Ascomycota; Dothideomycetes; Pleosporales; Pleosporaceae.
UUGGUCAUUUAGAGUCAGGGUCAGUAGGAGGAAGUAAAAGUUGUAACAACGUCUCGGUAGGUGAACCUCAGGAGGGGUCAUUUCACAUAUGUGAAGGYUGGCGGGAACCUAUCGGGGUUACAGCCUUGCUGAAUUAUUCACCUUUGUCCUUUGCGUACUUCUAGAUUCCUUGGUGGGUUCGCCCACCAAUAGGACAAACAUAAACCUUKUGUAAUUGCAAUCAGCGUCAGUAACAAAUUAAUAAUUACAACUUUCAUCUGCGGAUCUCUUGGUUCGGRUCUCGAUGAAGAACGCAGCGAAAUGCAAUAAGUAGAGUGAAUUGCAGAAUUCAAUGAMUCGUCUAAUCUUUGAACGCACAUUGCGCCCUUUGSYAUGCCAAAGGGCAGGCCUGUUCGAGAGUCAUUUGUACCCUCAAGCUUUGCUUGGUGUUGGGAGUUUUGCCGCUAGCUAUGCCGGAGACUCGCCUAAAAGUAAUUGGCAACCGGCCUACUGGUUUCGGAGCGCAGCACAAGUCGCACUCUCUAUCAGCAAAGGUCUAGCAUCCAUUAAGCCUUCUCUGCAACUUUAGACCUCGGAUCCUGUAGGGAUACCCGCUGAACUUGAGCCCAUCAAAAGUCGGACGAAUCAA